Long non-coding RNA from Drosophila yakuba, 953 nucleotides. RefSeq lists it as uncharacterized. The record is from RefSeq and is a predicted model, not a curated record. NCBI's taxonomy places the organism in Eukaryota, Metazoa, Arthropoda, Insecta, Diptera, Drosophilidae. The transcript has 3 exons.
AAAAAGGGUGCCCAUGUAUCUAGGGAAUCACAAGGAGCCGGGUUGAUUCGAUCGAUCGGUCCACGUCAACCACCUCCGGCGCAGGCCCAUGGAAUGCGGUGGAAGACGAAUACCCCGACGCCAGUUGGCGGCGCUUCCGUGACGCAGUCCACCAACCAUAUGGGCAGAGCCAUGGGCUUCGCUUCGCUUUGCUUUGCUUCGCUUUGGUUUGCUUUGGUUUGAUUUGGUGGAGCCACACUUGGUGGAGCCACAAUUGGUGGAGCGCCUGCGCACGCGCCGCGAACAAACGGAGCUGGCUGCUCAGUGGAAAACCUGCAAUUUCCAUUCAUUUCGGAUGGCAGCAUGGCAGCGAUCAUCGUGUCAUGGCUCGUGGGUGGUUUUCGGCCGGGGGAGGACUACUACUCCCCACUGAGACGGAGGCUUUAAAAUAAAUCACGCGUGCAUUUGCAUUGGCUACUAGUUUUUGCGUUUCUUGCAGUUAAAUUUCGCCAUUACUUAUCCAAUCUCGGAUCUUCUGAAGCCACCUUUAAUGACGGCCGAAUUAACCGGAUUAAUGGAACCACUGACUUCAGAUUUUCCCCAACUUGCAGGGCAUGGGAGCUCGGUCCCCAUUGAUGGGUUUUACCAUUGUUCAUUUUCUUUGUUUUUCCGUUUUGCCGUUUUGUUUUGGCUGUGUGUGAACUUCUUCUAAAGCUUAUGCCUUUUUUCAGCAGCUCACGCAGACGGAAGGCACGGAAAACUGCACUCAAAAGCUAGGAGCCCCACACCGAAGACCCAAACUCAGUCAACGGAAAUAGCAGGAGUGCAGCGUGUGUUUAAUACUCACAAAGAUAUGUUGCAUGGUCGCCCAGCCCCUGGAUUUAUUCAGUCCCCCACCCGAUUCCCCGGUUAACUUGAGUACAUGGCACGUAACGCGAGAAAUAGAGAUAUACGUUACAAAUAGAUCGCAUGCA